AAUGGCAGGUCAGCAUACUGCCGUGAAUACGUUCCCCGGCCCUUGUACACACCGCCCGUCACACCAUGAGAGUUGGGAAUACCCGAAGCCUGUGAGCUAACUUAUAGAGGCAGCAGUCGAAGGUAGAAUCAAUGAUUGGGGUGAAGUCGUAACAAGGUAGC
RNAcentral lists this ribosomal RNA (161 nucleotides) under uncultured bacterium. RNAcentral's name for it is "partial 16S ribosomal RNA". It matches the Rfam family "Bacterial small subunit ribosomal RNA", at positions 1340 to 1500 of the family's 1533-position model. The record is from RNAcentral.